AGAGUUUGAUCCUGGCUCAGGAUGAACGCUGGCGGCGUGCUUAACACAUGCAAGUCGAACGAAGCACUUUAUUUGAUUUCCUUCGGGAUUGAUUAUUUUGUGACUGAGUGGCGGACGGGUGAGUAACGCGUGGGUAACCUGCCUUGUACAGGGGGAUAACAGUUGGAAACGGCUGCUAAUACCGCAUAAGCGCACAGCAUCGCAUGAUGCAGUGUGAAAAACUCCGGUGGUAUAAGAUGGACCCGCGUUGGAUUAGCUAGUUGGUGAGGUAACGGCCCACCAAGGCGACGAUCCAUAGCCGACCUGAGAGGGUGACCGGCCACAUUGGGACUGAGACACGGCCCAAACUCCUACGGGAGGCAGCAGUGGGGAAUAUUGCACAAUGGGCGAAAGCCUGAUGCAGCGACGCCGCGUGAGCGAAGAAGUAUUUCGGUAUGUAAAGCUCUAUCAGCAGGGAAGAUAAUGACGGUACCUGACUAAGAAGCACCGGCUAAAUACGUGCCAGCAGCCGCGGUAAUACGUAUGGUGCAAGCGUUAUCCGGAUUUACUGGGUGUAAAGGGAGCGCAGGCGGUGCGGCAAGUCUGAUGUGAAAGCCCGGGGCUCAACCCCGGUACUGCAUUGGAAACUGUCGUACUAGAGUGUCGGAGGGGUAAGCGGAAUUCCUAGUGUAGCGGUGAAAUGCGUAGAUAUUAGGAGGAACACCAGUGGCGAAGGCGGCUUACUGGACGAUAACUGACGCUGAGGCUCGAAAGCGUGGGGAGCAAACAGGAUUAGAUACCCUGGUAGUCCACGCCGUAAACGAUGA
This 806-nucleotide ribosomal RNA is filed under the name uncultured bacterium. RNAcentral's name for it is "bacterial SSU rRNA". It matches the Rfam family "Bacterial small subunit ribosomal RNA", at positions 8 to 812 of the family's 1533-position model. The record is from RNAcentral.